GUGACUGAUUCGACCAUUAUUUAUUCUGGUCUUGCGCGGCAUUUUUGUUUUUCUGAAUUGAUCGGGCAGCUCCGGCAGCGUGCAUGUGGGGUUUGCGUGCUCUGAGGGAGCCCACACGGGGCCAUUAAAGUACUAGGUUUGGGGCGAGAGAGGCUGGGGGUUCUGUCUGUGUCAGACCAAGCCUUGUGGGUCAUGGGAGGCGACGUCCAGCCCACGAUUUCCUGUUCCCAGUGCUGAGGGAACACGGCCUGGGUCCUGCCUGGCCACCCGCUCCAAGGUGAGCAGAAUCCAGGAGGUUGGGUCCUGUGCGAACCGGGCUGAAAUGCCAGGAAUGAGGUGUGAGGCUCCGAGGGGGAGGCCUGGAAGACCUCUGAGCACCUGCAGAGGGGACGGGAUGCGUGGUGUGCACAGGGGUCAGCGCGGCCUUUUGGAAGAGACGUAGUCGGCCUGGCCUUGAAGGUCUCCAAGGCUUCAGCCCCGCAUAGAGCUGCUCCUUGCCUUCGUGAGCUGCGUCCUCUGUGCUGCUUGGGAGGAUGAUUGAUCCAGUGCUGCACCGAUGCUGAGUCUCUUCACUUCUGCUUCUCUAGAUCCCCGUGAAAAAUGAUUCUCUAAAAGCCAGAUGUGCUGUUAGAGCUUCAUUGCAGGCAUGAGGUAAAGAAGUCCAGUGUUAUGAUGUGCACCUGAGAGAAGAGGAAACGAGGUCCCGCUGACAAGUGCCGAGACUCACCCAGCUUUCUUAGCAGGCUCCUACAGCUCCUGUCUGGCCCCCAGCCCAAGCUCUCUCCACUGCCCCCAGCUUUUCCAGAGUGAAAAAGGUUACACUGGACUCCACGUUAGAGGAGGGAUCGAACUCGGGACCUUGAGCUUGCAAGGCAGGCGGUGGUACCACUGAGCUAAAUCCCCGG
This 905-nucleotide long non-coding RNA is filed under the name Heterocephalus glaber (naked mole-rat). Its description in RNAcentral is "lncRNA (ENSHGLG00100033458.1)". Lineage: Eukaryota; Metazoa; Chordata; Mammalia; Rodentia; Bathyergidae. The record is from RNAcentral.